Long non-coding RNA from Cebus imitator (Panamanian white-faced capuchin), 381 nucleotides. RefSeq lists it as uncharacterized. The record is from RefSeq and is a predicted model, not a curated record. Lineage: Eukaryota; Metazoa; Chordata; Mammalia; Primates; Cebidae. The transcript has 3 exons.
GCACUGCCUGGGAGUGGUAGCUGGUGUGGAACAAGCGAUCUGCCUUCAGCAGCACAGAGAGGCCUGCCUGGAGGAGACGGAAAGAGGCUGUAAGCAACUUGAGGACAAGGACCAGUCUGGGCCAUCUAUGUGCUUCCCAUGACACCAUGGAAAGCACCUCAUACAUCAGAGCUGAAAUGAGCUCACUGAUCUUCCUUGAAGGUGCUUGGCUGGGCAAAACAAUGCCUACUGCCCUGUGUAUACCCUGGGAAUAAAGCUCUACUCCCAUGGAAUAGCUGCCUACUGGAAAUGCUGUCCCCAAGAGCAGUCGCAGGAUAACAACACCUUCCCAGCAACGUUCCCUCCACGGCCUGUAAUGGGGCCCAAGGUGUGCACUCACUC